This 1277-nucleotide long non-coding RNA is filed under the name Sorghum bicolor (sorghum). RNAcentral describes it as "long non-coding RNA (SBIC_LNC008400)". The record is from RNAcentral. Lineage: Eukaryota; Viridiplantae; Streptophyta; Magnoliopsida; Poales; Poaceae.
GAGGCUGCAAUCGUCGAUGGCGGCGCAUACGUAAGAUUAGAGCGUCGAAUUAAGGCUCUCGACCUUCGUACGGGCAAUCUCAUAAUGCGCAUCGCUGAGGGUACCCCUUACCGAUACCCUCGACACCAUGGAUCCAAAGAAACAAAUCAAUAAGCCAAAUCAAGAUGUGCAUGUGUGGCGAAUGAAUGGUGUAUGGUGAUGAUGGUGAUAACAAUGGUGAAAGUCUAAUUCUACUUUUGCUCUUUUGAGGGGAUACAUACCUUCCUUGCUUUUUGAAACUUUAUGAGGAGAAUGAGAUGCUCUUCUUUUUCUUUCCUCUCAGGUGGGUAUCUUGUACCCCUAAUUCUAUUGUCGGACACUUGUCCAUUUUUACCUCUCGUCUCACUUUUUCUUUCUUUCGAGGUUCCGGGCACUUGCCUCUUUUUAUUUCCUCGUAUAUUAUUAUUUUUUUCCUUUUCUUCUCUUUUUUUUCAGAGCACUCAUCUCUUGAGAUAAUAUAGCAAAUGGUAGUAGCAAUAUAAUUUGAGUAUUUAUUUCACAAGGGAAAACAGAAUUAUUUUUGGCUAUUCUCUCCCGGAUUAGGAGUAGAAUAUUUUUGGGUGGUUCUGGAGAUGGAUAUAUGUGGAUGGUACUUCCAGAGUAGAAGUAGCAUAUAUGAGUGACUGUGCAAGUGAAUCUUGAUUUAACCACAUGACAAGCUCCUAAGGGUCUACACAGCUUGACCACACUCAAUGCUCAUAAGCAGUAAAUAAUAAAUGUGUGGCUCAAAGUCUAGCAAGCAUGUAUAUAUGGCUGUGGUAGGAAUUUAAACUCUCAUCAUACAGGAACUCAUCAUGCAAUAUUUUAAAGAUUUUUCAAAGAUAAAAUUCUCCAGAAUUCUAGCAUCUCUAGGAAUAGAUAAACAACAGCUCAACCUUCCCAUAUUAUAUCCGUUAACAACUUAGACUUUAGAUCAAGUACUCUUUCCACAAGUUUAGGUUUAGACUAGGUUUAAAUUAUAACAGUUAUGCCUAAACUUGAGAGAGAGCUCAAACUUGACAACUAGGUACAUGGCAGAGCAACUAUUUAUCAUAUCUAUGUAAGAGUUUAUCAUUUAAGUUCAGUUUGGCCUAGACACUUUAUUUAUUUAUUUAGCAAACUAAGCAUAUAUAUAAGCACAAAAUCUUUAUUUGGGUUUUCAUGAUUAUGCAUCUUUUUAUUAUUUGAGUAAAGUAUAAACGUUAACAUCUUAGAUUUCAGAUCAAGUUUUCAUCCCAAAAGUUUAGAUCUAGAGCAAG